Anopheles funestus (African malaria mosquito) is the source of this 3601-nucleotide long non-coding RNA. RefSeq lists it as uncharacterized. NCBI's taxonomy places the organism in Eukaryota, Metazoa, Arthropoda, Insecta, Diptera, Culicidae. The transcript has 3 exons. The record is from RefSeq and is a predicted model, not a curated record.
AUUAUUAGAGUGAAAAGAAACUCAUUACAACCCAUUGGCAUUAAAAUAAAACAAUUUAAUUUUUUUUGCAAAAUUUCCCAAAAAAAUCGUAAGGGGUACCCCUUAUGAAAUUUUCGAGUGAAAAUUUUUUUUGAAAUUUUUUUCUGAUUUUUUAUUCUUUUUUUAAUUUAAAGCACUAUUUAAGUGAAAAGAAACUUAUUGCAACAAAUUCCCAUCAAAAUAUAUCACAUUUAAAAUUUUUGCUACAUUGCUCAAAAAUGAGGAAAAUUUUACAUUUUCUCAAACAGGGUAAGGAACUUGGUUCCUCGAAUAACUUCUGGCACAGGCAUCUAAGGGCAUGGCUGUCCAAGAAGAAAAUGUAGCCAUUGGUGCCAUCUAUCGACCACAGGUUAAAGUUUGGCGAUCCGUUGGAUACCGACCGAGUUAUAGGCAAAAGUUGGUGCAAAAAUGAGGAAAAUUUUAUAUUUUCUCAAACAGGGUAAGGAACUUGGUUCCUGGAAUAACUUCUGGCACAGACAUCUAAGGGCAUGGCUGUCCAAGAAGAAAAUGUAGCCAUUGGUGCCAUCUAUCGACCACAGGUUAAAGUUUGGCGAUCCGUUGGAUACCGACCGAGUUAUAGGCAAAAGUUGGUGCAAAAAUGAGGAAAAUUUUACAUUUUCUCAAACAGGGUAAGGAACUUGAUUCCUGGAAUAACUUCUGGCACAGACAUCUGAGGGCAUGGCUGUCCAAGAAGAAAAUGUAGCCAUUGGUGCCAUCUAUCGACCACAGGUUAAAGAUUGGCGAUUCGUUGGAUACCGACCGAGUUAUAGGCAAAAUUUGGUGCAAAAAUGGGGAAAAUUGUCAUUUUUUUUCGAAUUUUUUGAUUUUUUUUAUUAUUUUUCACUCUUUUUUCAUUUCAAGCAUUAUUAGAGUGAAAAGAAACUCAUUACAACCCAUUGGCAUUAAAAUAAAACAAUUUAAUUUUUUUUGCAAAAUUUCCCAAAAAAAUCGUAAGGGGUACCCCUUAUGAAAUUUUCGAGUGAAAAAUUUUUUUGAAAUUUUUUUCUGAUUUUUUAUUCUUUUUUUAAUUUAAAGCACUAUUUAAGUGAAAAGAAACUUAUUGCAACAAAUUCCCAUCAAAAUAUAUCACAUUUAAAAUUUUUGCUACAUUGCUCAAAAAUGAGUAAAAUUUUACAUUUUCUCAAACAGGGUAAGGAACUUGGUUCCUCGAAUAACUUCUGGCACAGGCAUCUAAGGGCAUGGCUGUCCAAGAGGAAAAUGUAGCCAUUGGUGCCAUCUAUCGACCACAGGUAAAAGUUUGGCGAUCCGUUGGAUACCGACCGAGUUAUAGGCAAAAGUUGGUGCAAAAAUGAGGAAAAUUUUACAUUUUCUCAAACAGGGUAUGGAACUUGGUUCCUGGAAUAACUUCUGGCACAGACAUCUGAGGGCAUGGCUGUCCAAGAAGAAAAUGUAGCCAUUGGUGCCAUCUAUCGACCACAGGUUAAAGAUUGGCGAUUCGUUGGAUACCGACCGAGUUAUAGGCAAAAUUUGGUGCAAAAAUGAGGAAAAUUGUCAUUUUUUUCGAAUUUUUUGAUUUUUUUUAUUAUUUUUCACUCUUUUUUUCAUUUCAAGCAUUAUUAGAGUGAAAAGAAACUCAUUACAACCCAUUGGCAUUAAAAUAAAACAAUUUAAUUUUUUUUGCAAAAUUUCCCAAAAAAAUCGUAAGGGGUACCCCUUAUGAAAUUUUCGAGUGAAAAAUUUUUUUGAAAUUUUUUUCUGAUUUUUUAUUCUUUUUUUAAUUUAAAGCACUAUUUAAGUGAAAAGAAACUUAUUGCAACAAAUUCCCAUCAAAAUAUAUCACAUUUAAAAUUUUUGCUACAUUGCUCAAAAAUGAGGAAAAUUUUACAUUUUCUCAAACAGGGUAAGGAACUUGGUUCCUGGAAUAACUUCUGGCACAGACAUCUAAGGGCAUGGCUGUCCAAGAAGAAAAUGUAGCCAUUGGUGCUAUCUAUCGACCACAGGUUAAAGUUUGGCGAUCCGUUGGAUACCGACCGAGUUAUAGGCAAAAGUUGGUGCAAAAAUAAGGAAAAUUUUACAUUUUCUCAAACAGGGUAUGGAACUUGGUUCCUGGAAUAACUUCUGGCACAGACAUCUGAGGGCAUGGCUGUCCAAGAAGAAAAUGUAGCCAUUGGUGCCAUCUAUCGACCACAGGUUAAAGAUUGGUGAUUCGUUGGAUACCGACCGAGGUAUAGGCAAAAUUUGGUGCAAAAAUGAGGAAAAUUGUUAUUUUUUUUCGAAUUUUUUGAUUUUUUUAAUUAUUUUUCACUCUUUUUUUCAUUUCAAGCAUUAUUAGAGUGAAAAGAAACUCAUUACAACCCAUUGGCAUUAAAAUAAAACAAUUUAAUUUUUUUUGCAAAAUUUCCCAAAAAAAUCGUAAGGGGUACCCCUUAUGAAAUUUUCGAGUGAAAAAUUUUUUUGAAAUUUUUUUCUGAUUUUUUAUUCUUUUUUUAAUUUAAAGCACUAUGUAAGUGAAAAGAAACUUAUUGCAACAAAUUCCCAUCAAAAUAUAUCACAUUUAAAAUUUUUGCUACAUUGCUCAAAAAUGAGGAAAAUUUUACAUUUUCUCAACAGGGUAAGGAACUUGGUUCCUCGAAUAACUUCUGGCACAGGCAUCUAAGGGCAUGGCUGUCCAAGAAGAAAAUGUAGCCAUUGGUGCCAUCUAUCGACCACAGGUUAAAGAUUGGCGAUUCGUUGGAUACCGACCGAGUUAUAGGCAAAAUUUGGUGCAAAAAUGAGGAAAAUUGUCAUUUUUUUCGAAUUUUUUGAUUUUUUUUAUUAUUUUUCACUCUUUUUUUCAUUUCAAGCAUUAUUAGAGUGAAAAGAAACUCAUUACAACCCAUUGGCAUUAAAAUAAAACAAUUUAAUUUUUUUUGCAAAAUUUCCCAAAAAAAUCGUAAGGGGUACCCCUUAUGAAAUUUUCGAGUGAAAAAUUUUUUUGAAAUUUUUUUCUGAUUUUUUAUUCUUUUUUUAAUUUAAAGCACUAUUUAAGUGAAAAGAAACUUAUUGCAACAAAUUCCCAUCAAAAUAUAUCACAUUUAAAAUUUUUGCUACAUUGCUCAAAAAUGAGUAAAAUUUUACAUUUUCUCAAACAGGGUAAGGAACUUGGUUCCUCGAAUAACUUCUGGCACAGGCAUCUAAGGGCAUGGCUGUCCAAGAAGAAAAUGUAGCCAUUGGUGCCAUCUAUCGACCACAGGUUAAAGAUUGGCGAUUCGUUGGAUACCGACCGAGUUAUAGGCAAAAUUUGGUGCAAAAAUGAGGAAAAUUGACAUUUUUUUUUUGAAUUUUUUGAUUUUUUUAUUAUUUUUCACUCUUUUUUUCAUUUCAAGCAUUAUUAGAGUGAAAAGAAACUCAUUGCAACCCAUUGGCAUUAAAAUAAAACAAUUUUAUUUUUUUUGCAAAAUUUCCCAAAAAAAUCGUAAGGGGUAAGCCUUAUGAAAUUUUCGAGUGAAAAUUUUUUUUGAAUUUUUUUUCUGAUUUUUUAUUCUUUUUUUAAUUUAAAGCACUAUUUAAGUGAAAAGAAACUGAUUGCAACAAAUUCGCAUUAAAAUAAAUCAAUUUUUAA